This 508-nucleotide ribosomal RNA is filed under the name uncultured bacterium. RNAcentral's name for it is "partial 16S ribosomal RNA". It matches the Rfam family "Bacterial small subunit ribosomal RNA", at positions 28 to 523 of the family's 1533-position model. The record is from RNAcentral.
GAUGAACGCUAGCUACAGGCUUAACACAUGCAAGUCGAGGGGAAACGACAUCGAAAGCUUGCUUUUGAUGGGCGUCGACCGGCGCACGGGUGAGUAACGCGUAUCCAACCUGCCCACCACGUGGGGAUAACCUUGCGAAAGUAAGACUAAUAACCAAUGAGAUCUCUAGAAGACAUCUGAAAGAGAUUAAAGAUUUAUCGGUGAUGGAUGGUGAUGCGUCUGAUUAGCUUGUUGGAGGGGUAACGGACCACCAAGGCUACGAUCAGUAGGGGUUCUGAGAGGACGGUCCACCACAUUGGAACUGAGACACGGUCCAAACUCCUACGGGAGGCAGCAGUGAGGAAUAUUGGUCAAUGGACGAGAGUCUGAACCAGCCAAGUAGCGUGCAGGAUGACGGCCCUAUGGGUUGUAAACUGCUUUUAUAAGGGAAUAAAGUGAGUCUCGUGAGACUUUUUGCAUGUACCUUAUGAAUAAGGACCGGCUAAUUCCGUGCCAGCCGCCGCAGUAA